Molecule: ribosomal RNA, 253 nt
Filed under: uncultured bacterium
Lineage: Bacteria
Description: partial 16S ribosomal RNA
Rfam family: Bacterial small subunit ribosomal RNA
Source: RNAcentral
UACGUAGGGUGCGAGCGUUGUCCGGAAUUAUUGGGCGUAAAGGGCUCGUAGGCGGUUUGUCGCGUCGGGAGUGAAAACCCAGGGCUUAACCCUGAGCUUGCAGUGGGUACGGGCAGACUAGAGUGCGGUAGGGGAGACUGGAAUUCCUGGUGUAGCGGUGAAAUGCGCAGAUAUCAGGAGGAACACCGGUGGCGAAGGCGGGUCUCUGGGCCGUAACUGACGCUGAGGAGCGAAAGCAUGGGGAGCGAACAGG